RNAcentral lists this ribosomal RNA (130 nucleotides) under Rhipicephalus sanguineus (brown dog tick). RNAcentral's name for it is "partial large subunit ribosomal RNA". The record is from RNAcentral. Lineage: Eukaryota; Metazoa; Arthropoda; Arachnida; Ixodida; Ixodidae.
ACCCUAUGAAUUUAUAAAUUUUAUUUAAUAUGUAACUACUAUUAAAAAAAAUUUUGGCUGGGGCGGCAGAAAAAUAUUUAAAACUUUUUUAAAAUAAAAUGACCCAUUAUUAAUGAUUAUAUGUUAAAUA